RNAcentral lists this long non-coding RNA (599 nucleotides) under Monodelphis domestica (gray short-tailed opossum). RNAcentral describes it as "lncRNA (ENSMODG00000031178.2)". Lineage: Eukaryota; Metazoa; Chordata; Mammalia; Didelphimorphia; Didelphidae. The record is from RNAcentral.
CGGAGAUGUGGCUCUGGCUCUCCCACAGAGACAUGGCUCUCUCUCUGACUCUUGCUGGUGGAGACAUUGGUCUCUGUCAGCAACGUGGGAAGUGCUGAGUGACGUUUGGCGUCUUGGGUCUUGGCAGCUUGGUGUGAGCUUGUUAAGUGUUAGGGAUGAAGAUUAAGAAUUUAGGAUUGGUAGAAUCCUAUCCUGUUUACAACAGAAUUUUAUCUUCUCAUUCUUGUUAUGAAAGCCAAUUGCUUCCUCAUCUAAUCGACCUAUCAUUUUUUCCCUGACAGCUAGGAUGAAGUGAAAAUAAUACUGGAUUGAAAAUCAAGAGCCUUUGAUUUUAUUUCCAACUCUAGCCCUCACUUGUUGUGUGAGUUUGGGUCCAUCAAUUAACCAUUAUGUCUCUCAGUUUCCUCAUUUAUAAACGAGGAAUUUGGACUAUUUGGUCACUAACAUCACAAACAAAUGUGAAGAGUGGAAACCAUCCCAUUUUUGCUCUGAUACUUCAAGGUCACAGGGAAUCAGGUACUUUCUACAAGCCUUGGGUUUUACUGACCUAAUAUUAGGAUUAUUGACCAAAGAGUCAAUAAAAACAGUAAACUCCUCCA